ACCUGGACGACGUGCUGCUGAGGAAGCUCCUGUUUAGCUGGAGGGAACGUCUGGGAGGUCUGGCUGCAGGGACUCUGAGUCUGACAGGGAGACGAGUCCUGGGAUGGCGGGAGUGACGAUCCAUUAACGUAGCUCCAGUUGUGGAUCAGAGAACCUCUUUUACUGAGCAUCAUGGCAGCGACGGUGGAUUUAGCAGCCACCUGUAAUAACAAACAACAAUAGAAAAUAGUCACAAAAUGCAAAUAAACGACCAGUAGCUUCACAGGCCUCUUUCUGUAGCUUCUUUCAAAAUGUGGUAUAUAAAUGUGGCUGUGGAUACUUGUUUGCGAUACACUGAUCAGACACAACACUAUGACCUCCUGCCUUGGAUCACAUGGGCCAGCCUUCGCUCCCCAGGUGCAUUACUGAGCCUUGGCUGCCCACGACCCUGUCACCGGUUCGCCACAUCUCGAGAACUGAGCUGCAGGUCUGGAGAUGCUCUGACCCAGUCGUCUUGUCAAACUCAUUCCUUACGCUGACAUCUUUGUGGUCUGGACCGACCCCAACAACCUGUUCUACUUGCAUUCAGCUCGCAGGUUGAACUCUCACCAAGCUCGAUGGACUUUGUUUCUGGGAGGUUAAACUUUGGACGGAUAGACAGUCGGAUGGAUGGUUGGAUACUUUAUUAAUCCAGAGGGAAAUUCAAGUACCUUUAACUGUAGCUCCAGUUCAUGGAACAUUCCGCCAGAUGACCUCUCGCUCAAGUAUGCAUGUCCUGAAGAGGAAGAAUCUUUGAGGUGAAAGUGACUAGGUGGGAGAUUAACCACCCUCGUCCUGCGAACAAGACCAUCUGUUUGUCCCUGAACCAGUCAGAUCCUCUGUGUUCCAAUGGGGCAUUCAUUUAAGACGCCACCCUGAGUUCCGUAGAACCCCUAGUUCACCAGUGCUCCACCAUUCCAUGUGCUCCACCUUCAGCUCAGCCAUAGUCUCUCAGGGCUGUACUCCAACCAUCUACCACCAAGCCUGCCAGCCAUCAACCUCCACCUCACCUUCUGAGACUUCUUGUUAAAAGAAUUCACACUUUUUAUCAUACUCAUCUUCAUGUUCUGCAUCCGGGACCAAACCAAAAGCUCACACUAACCAUCUAGCCAUGAUGUUCUAACACGUCUACUUUGAGGAUAAAAUGCUCACUUGCUGCCUAAUAUAUCCAACUAACUAACUAACAGGAGUCAUGAUGAAGAGACAAUCAGUGUUAUCACUUCACCUGUCAGUGGUCAGAAUGCUAUGCCUGAUCGGUGUAUUCAGGAGAAGUUUUACAGUCCAUGAAGCUAGCCUUAAAAAGUGUAGGGCGAGUAGCGGAGGGAUCCUGACUGAGGUCUGGGCAGAUACGCCAGCAAAUGUUUGGCAGUGAGCGUCUGUGUUGGAGGGAUGGAGUUCCUGCGAGGUUCGAUCCUGAGGGCGUUCCUGAUAUGAUUGUUGCUCUGAACGUUUUGAAGCGUCUCUCUGCUGAGCAUCACAGUGGAGAUCAUUGCUGGGAGUCUUCAGGAUCACUGCUCAGCCUUCUGUUCAGGCAAAGAAACAGCAUCAAUCACAAUACAAGGACAAAUGAAUGAGUCUUGGUGGUCAGUUUGUGUUGAUUUAGCAUCUGUUUGUGUUUGUUUUGCAUCUCUUUUAGUCAGUUUUAAUGUAUUUCUGCUCGGUGUGUUUUUGUAGUCAUUUUGCAUUACUUUUUAGUAGUAUAUGUAUCUUUUUAGCCCAUUCCAAAUCUCUUUGUGGUUGUUUUGCAUCUCUUUGCAGUCAUUUUAUAUCUGGUAGUGGUCUUUAAAGGUGGUUUAAUCUCUGUUAACUGUGAAUUAGCUUCCAUUUCUUUUCAUUUUGUAUCCCUUCCUGGUAAUUUUCCCUUCUUUGCUGAUGUUGUGCAUCUAUUUGGGUUCAUUUUCUGCCUUUUUCCCAUCAUCUUGUAUCUCUUGGCGGUUGGUCUGAGUCUCUGGGCUGGUUUUCCGUCUCUUUGCAACCAUUUUGCAUCUAGCAGUGUGUCUCCUUGCUGUCCUUUUGUGUGUCUUAGCAGUUGUUUUAACUCUGUUUGCAUUUAUUUGUCUUCAUUUUGCAUCUUUUUUGUCACUUCAGUCUCUCUCUGGUCACUUUGCAUCACUUUCUGGUCAUUUUGUGUGUCUUUACAGCCAUUUUGCAUUUAUUUGUCACCAUUUUGUGGCUCCUUAUUGUUGUUUUGAGUAAUUUUGCACAUCUUUAGCAUUGUUUUGUGUGUCUUUGUGGACAUUUUCCGUCUUUUUGUGGUCCUUUAAUGUCUCUUUGCUGUAGUUGUGCAUCUGUUGGUGUUAAUUUUACAUUUCUUUUUAGGCUGGUUGAGUCUCUGUGGUCGUUUUACUGUGAUAUGCAGUCAUUUGUCAUGUAGUAAUGUGUGUCUUUGCAAUUCAUUUGCAUGUUUAUUAUGUUUAUUUUACAUCAUUUUUAUGUAAGUUUCAUCCCUCUCUGGUCUGUCUGAAUCUGUUUGUAGUAAUUUUGAGUCUCUUUGUAGUUGUUUUGCAUCAUUUCUCUCUUUCUCAUUUUGAGCAUCUUUGUGGUCAUUUGCGUUUAUUUUGGGGUUUUUUGGCAUCUCUUUUUUAUCACCUCCAUCCCUCUGGUUAGCUUGCGUCUCUUUUCAGUGAAUCCCUUUCUGGUCUUUUUUGCAUCUUUGCAGUCAUUUUACAUUUAUUUGUGUUUAAAUUUCAUUUCUUUAUUAUUAGUUUGCAUCUACUGUUGUAGUUGUUUGAAUCUUUGUUGCCGUUUUGUGUGUAUUUGUAGUUGUUUAGAGGAAUUUUGCACAUCUUUGUGGUUGUUUAAAUGACUUUCCACCAAGAAACGGUGAUCCUCACUCCAGACAGAGUCUCUGGACCAGGACCUUCUGACUCCUCAGGCCCUGAUCCUGAUCCAGGUCCAUCCGGUUAUCCAUUCAUGGCUGAUAGAUCACCCAGAGCUGUGAUGAUAUUAUAAUGAUGUGCUAAAAGCAAAUGUCGCUUUACUCUGUUGUCGGCGUAACACAAGGUUUCAUCAAUCUGAAGUGGGCUGAUCAGUGUCUCAGUCACUGCUGCACUUUAUUGCACAUUAGGGAUUAUCGCUAAUCCUCCACAUUAAUCUGAGAAACACCAAGGAACACGAUGGAUUUGGAAAGAUUAGCGACUGUAUUUGCCUGAAGGCUUAGAGAAAGCAUUGUCCAGAUGUGACCAAAUGGACUGUGUGAAAUUCACUCGUCUCUUAAGAAAAUCUUCAAACUGUGCCAUGAUCACUGUGUCGCCACACUCACACAUGCAACAUGUGAACAUGUUUCUGAAUCCAGAACACACGUGUCACACGCCUGUGUGGUACAAAUACAACCAUGGAGCAGAGCCAAUCCGACGGAUGGGAAACCGACACACAAACAAAUGAAGAACUGUUCUUUUAGCUCAAGUUACUCAAUCAUGACCUGAAUAUGUUUUUGAGUAUUGCUGGAUUUUUUGAGUUACCAGUAAAUUAAUAAAUGGAUUUAUGUGUGAGUCUAA
Molecule: long non-coding RNA, 3515 nt
Organism: Amphiprion ocellaris (clown anemonefish)
Lineage: Eukaryota; Metazoa; Chordata; Actinopteri; Pomacentridae
Exons: 2
Source: RefSeq, a predicted model, not a curated record